CAGAGGUCCCAAGCGUUGUUCGGAUUCACUGGGCGUAAAGGGUGCGUAGGCGGGUCUUUAAGUCAGGGGUGAAAUCCUGGAGCUCAACUCCAGAACUGCCUUUGAUACUGAAGAUCUUGAGUUCGGGAGAGGUGAGUGGAACUGCGAGUGUAGAGGUGAAAUUCGUAGAUAUUCGCAAGAACACCAGUGGCGAAGGCGGCUCACUGGCCCGAUACUGACGCUGAGGCACGAAAGCGUGGGGAGCAACCAGG
RNAcentral lists this ribosomal RNA (251 nucleotides) under uncultured bacterium. RNAcentral describes it as "partial 16S ribosomal RNA". It matches the Rfam family "Bacterial small subunit ribosomal RNA", at positions 526 to 776 of the family's 1533-position model. The record is from RNAcentral.